GAACACCCUCUAAAACCUAACCACAAAUUCAGCAAAUUAAUGGAGCAAUUGAUGGUUGAUCUAGUGCAUGAACAUCAAUCUUUGAUCACCUCUACUUGCUAAGCAUAAGGACGGAAAUCUUGUCAAUUGACUCAAGCAUGGAUGGCUAUCGGGUCAAGAGGAAGCACGGAGGCAAGCAUGAACAUGGAUGCUAAAGGAAAUUAACGAUCUGGCGCGGUAUGGCUUGUUUUCCGCUGCAUAAGUCACCAGGGUCAUCCAAGGUUCGGGGAAAUGUGACUCUUUCCUGGACAAGUCACAGUCCUUGAAUCGUGUUUAUGUUAUGUUUAUGGUUGUAAUGUUUAAACAAGUUAUGGUUGUUGGGUGUUAACCCGUUAAGACAAUGUUUAAUAUUUAUUUAUCAAUGGAUGAUCUUGCAUAUUU
This 420-nucleotide long non-coding RNA is filed under the name Helianthus annuus (common sunflower). RNAcentral describes it as "sRNA HanXRQr2_Chr08g0354831". Lineage: Eukaryota; Viridiplantae; Streptophyta; Magnoliopsida; Asterales; Asteraceae. The record is from RNAcentral.